AGCCUACGGGGGGCAGCAGUUAGGAAUAUUCGUCAAUGGGGGAAACCCUGAACGAGCAAUGCCGCGUGAACGAUGACGGUCCUCUGGAUUGUAAAGUUCUGUUGUUUGGGAAGAACGGCUCUAAUAGGAAAUGAUUAGAGAUUGACUGUACCAUUCAAGAAAGCCACGGCUAACUACGUGCCAGCAGCCGCGGUAAUACGUAGGUGGCGAGCGUUAUCCGGAUUUAUUGGGUUUAAAGGGUGCGUAGGCGGCGCUUCAGGUCAGCGGUGAAAUACCGGGGCUCAACCCCGGGGCUGCCGUUGAAA
RNAcentral lists this ribosomal RNA (305 nucleotides) under uncultured bacterium. Its description in RNAcentral is "bacterial SSU rRNA". It matches the Rfam family "Bacterial small subunit ribosomal RNA", at positions 335 to 632 of the family's 1533-position model. The record is from RNAcentral.